CCUACGGGUGGCAGCAGUGGGGAAUAUUGGGCAAUGGGCGCAAGCCUGACCCAGCAACGCCGCGUGAAGGAAGAAGGCUUUCGGGUUGUAAACUUCUUUUAAGAGGGAAGAGCAGAAGACGGUACCUGUUGAAUCAGCCACGGCUAACUACGAGCCAGCAGCCGCGGUAAUACGUAGGUGGCAAGCGUUGUCCGGAUUUACUGGGUGUAAAGGGCGUGCAGCCGGGAAGACAAGUCAGUUGUGAAAUCUCGCGGCUCAACCGCGGAACUGCAUUUGAAACUGGCUGUCUUGAGUACCGGAGAGGUCAUCGGAAUUCGUUGUGUAGCGGUGAAAUGCGUAGAUAUAAGGAAGAACACCAGUGGCGAAGGCAGAUGACUGGACGGCAACUGACGGUGAGGCGCGAAAGCGUGGGGAGCAAACAGGAUUAGAUACCCGAGUAGUC
Molecule: ribosomal RNA, 442 nt
Filed under: uncultured bacterium
Lineage: Bacteria
Description: partial 16S ribosomal RNA
Rfam family: Bacterial small subunit ribosomal RNA
Source: RNAcentral